Xiphophorus hellerii (green swordtail) is the source of this 297-nucleotide long non-coding RNA. RefSeq lists it as uncharacterized. The record is from RefSeq and is a predicted model, not a curated record. The transcript is spliced from 2 exons. NCBI's taxonomy places the organism in Eukaryota, Metazoa, Chordata, Actinopteri, Cyprinodontiformes, Poeciliidae.
AGACUCAGAAGUGAAGUAUGAAGAAGUAAGAAUAAGAAAUACAGCAGCAGUCUAACGUGUUUGUAGAUCCUCUGCCCCUCCCAACAAUGGCUGUUACGUUAUUCCUUCUAUUAAACACACAGCUCAUCUCUGCUGCUACAUUUCCUGGUUCCUCUCAUUUCACAUCUGACAGCUUUAUGACUGGUAGGAUCACUGAGCUGAACAACUGCUGCUGAUCAAUCAGACAAAUUCAGAAUCACUGUUGAAUCAAGAUCAAGAACCGACAAGUUAACCUGCUGCAAAUCAGUGAGUAAAGAA